RNAcentral lists this ribosomal RNA (460 nucleotides) under uncultured bacterium. RNAcentral's name for it is "partial 16S ribosomal RNA". It matches the Rfam family "Bacterial small subunit ribosomal RNA", at positions 338 to 795 of the family's 1533-position model. The record is from RNAcentral.
CCUACGGGAGGCAGCAGUGAGGAAUAUUGGUCAAUGGCCGGAAGGCUGAACCAGCCAUGCCGCGUGAAGGUCAGUGCCCUAUGGGCGUUAAACUUCUUUUGUGCGGGAGCAAUAAUGGUCACGUGUGGCCAGACGAGAGUACCGUACGAAUAAGCAUCGGCUAACUCCGUGCCAGCAGCCGCGGUGAUACGGGGGAUGCAAGCGUUAUCCGGAUUUAUUGGGUUUAAAGGGUGCGUAGGCUGUGAGGUAAGUCAGCGGUGAAAUGCCCCCGCUCAACGGGGUGAAGUGCCAUUGAUACUGGCUGGCUGGAAUGCGGAUGCCGUGGGAGGAAUGUGUGGUGUAGCGGUGAAAUGCAUAGAUAUCACACAGAACACCGAUUGCGAAGGCAUCUCACGAAUCCGCGAUUGACGCUGAUGCACGAAAGCGUGGGUAUCAAACAGGAUUAGAUACCCCUGUAGUC